CAAAGGGAUGCUCAGUACGGCGAGUGAAGCGGCAAGAGCUCAAAUUUGAAAGCUGGCCCCUCCGGGGUCCGCAUUGUAAUUUGCAGAGGAUGCUUCGGGCUCAGCCCCCGUCUAAGUGCCCUGGAACGGGCCGUCGGAGAGGGUGAGAAUCCCGUCUGGGACGGGGUGCCUGGGUCCAUGUGAAGCUCCUUCGACGAGUCGAGUUGUUUGGGAAUGCAGCUCUAAAUGGGUGGUAAAUUUCAUCUAAAGCUAAAUACUGGCCGGAGACCGAUAGCGCACAAGUAGAGUGAUCGAAAGAUGAAAAGCACUUUGAAAAGAGAGUUAAACAGCACGUGAAAUUGUUGAAAGGGAAGCGCUUGCGAUCAGACUCGCCUGCGGGGUUCAGCCGGCAUUCGUGCCGGUGUACUUCCCCGUGGGCGGGCCAGCGUCGGUUCGGGUGGCCGGUCAAAGGCCCCGGGAAUGUGUCGCCCUCCGGGGCGUCUUAUAGCCCGGGGUGCCAUGCGGCCUACCUGGACCGAGGAACGCGCUUCGGCUCGGACGCUGGCGUAAUGGUCGUAAGCGACCCGUCUAA
This 571-nucleotide ribosomal RNA is filed under the name Monascus lunisporas. RNAcentral describes it as "eukaryotic LSU rRNA". It matches the Rfam family "Eukaryotic large subunit ribosomal RNA", at positions 67 to 656 of the family's 3401-position model. Lineage: Eukaryota; Fungi; Ascomycota; Eurotiomycetes; Eurotiales; Aspergillaceae. The record is from RNAcentral.